This 301-nucleotide ribosomal RNA is filed under the name uncultured bacterium. Its description in RNAcentral is "partial 16S ribosomal RNA". It matches the Rfam family "Bacterial small subunit ribosomal RNA", at positions 509 to 807 of the family's 1533-position model. The record is from RNAcentral.
CAGUAGCCACGGUAAUACGAAGGGUGCAAGCGUUACUCGGAAUUACUGGGCGUAAAGCGUGCGUAGGUGGUCGUUUAAGUCUGUUGUGAAAGCCCUGGGCUCAACCUGGGAACUGCAGUGGAAACUGGACGACUAGAGUGUGGUAGAGGGUAGCGGAAUUCCUGGUGUAGCAGUGAAAUGCGUAGAGAUCAGGAGGAACAUCCAUGGCGAAGGCAGCUACCUGGACCAACACUGACACUGAGGCACGAAAGCGUGGGGAGCAAACAGGAUUAGAUACCCCUGUAGUCCCUGUCUCUUAUAC